RNAcentral lists this ribosomal RNA (479 nucleotides) under Astacopsis tricornis. RNAcentral's name for it is "partial 16S ribosomal RNA". It matches the Rfam family "Bacterial large subunit ribosomal RNA", at positions 1924 to 2612 of the family's 2925-position model. Lineage: Eukaryota; Metazoa; Arthropoda; Malacostraca; Decapoda; Parastacidae. The record is from RNAcentral.
UGAAAGGCCGCGGUAUAGUGACCGUGCGAAGGUAGCAUAAUCAUUAGUCCUUUAAUUGGGGGCUUGUAUGAAGGGUUGGACGAGAAAUUAGCUGUCUUUAUAAAAAAAGCUAGAAUUUAACUUUUAAGUGAGAAGGCUUAAAUAAUCUAAGGGGACGAUAAGACCCUAUAAAGUUUAACAUAUUUGUUAUUAAAAAAAAAAAAGGUAAAUUUUAUUAGGUUAAGAAAUUGUUUGGUUGGGGCGACUAGGAUAUAAAUAAUUUAACUGUUCUAUAUUAUAAAGAGGGAUAUCUGUGUUCUUGAACCUUAUUAGAGAUAAUAGAAUAAAUUACUUUAGGGAUAACAGCGUAAUUUUUUUUGAGAGUUCUUAUCGACAGAAAAGUUUGCGACCUCGAUGUUGAAGUUAAUAGAAUUCUUUGUAGCGAAGAGGUUACAGAAGAAGGUCUGUUCGACCUUUAAAUCUUUACAUGAUUUGAGUUC